RNAcentral lists this transfer RNA (69 nucleotides) under Sphaerodactylus townsendi. Its description in RNAcentral is "tRNA-Ala". The stretch from base 4 to 62 matches the Rfam family "tRNA", at positions 7 to 64 of the family's 71-position model. Rfam says of the family: Transfer RNA (tRNA) molecules are approximately 80 nucleotides in length. The record is from RNAcentral. Lineage: Eukaryota; Metazoa; Chordata; Lepidosauria; Squamata; Sphaerodactylidae.
GCCAUGGCUCAGCGGUAGAGUGUCUGCUUGGCAUGCAGAAGUUCCCAGGUUCAAUCCCUGUUAUCUCUG